UCCCUGGUAGCUCAGAGGUUAAAGCGUCUGCCUGCAAUGUGGGAGACCUGGGUUCAAUCCCUGGGUUGGGAA
This 72-nucleotide transfer RNA is filed under the name Bos taurus (domestic cattle). It matches the Rfam family "tRNA". Rfam says of the family: Transfer RNA (tRNA) molecules are approximately 80 nucleotides in length. Their secondary structure includes four short double-helical elements and three loops (D, anti-codon, and T loops). Further hydrogen bonds mediate the characteristic L-shaped molecular structure. tRNAs have two regions of fundamental functional importance: the anti-codon, which is responsible for specific mRNA codon recognition, and the 3' end, to which the tRNAs corresponding amino acid is attached (by aminoacyl-tRNA synthetases). tRNAs cope with the degeneracy of the genetic code in two manners: having more than one tRNA (with a specific anti-codon) for a particular amino acid; and 'wobble' base-pairing, i.e. permitting non-standard base-pairing at the 3rd anti-codon position. Lineage: Eukaryota; Metazoa; Chordata; Mammalia; Artiodactyla; Bovidae. The record is from Rfam by way of RNAcentral. RNAcentral also lists the same sequence under 1 other name.